This 253-nucleotide ribosomal RNA is filed under the name uncultured bacterium. RNAcentral's name for it is "partial 16S ribosomal RNA". It matches the Rfam family "Bacterial small subunit ribosomal RNA", at positions 524 to 776 of the family's 1533-position model. The record is from RNAcentral.
UACGGAGGAUGCAAGCGUUAUCCGGAAUGAUUGGGCGUAAAGCGUCCGCAGGUGGCUAUGUAAGUCUGCUGUUAAAGAGUGAGGCUCAACCUCAUAAGAGCAGUGGAAACUACAUGGCUAGAGUGCGUUCGGGGCAGAGGGAAUUCCUGGUGUAGCGGUGAAAUGCGUAGAGAUCAGGAAGAACACCGGUGGCGAAGGCGGGUCUCUGGACAGUUCCUGACACUGAGGCACGAAGGCCAGGGGAGCAAACGGG